ACGAAGGCAGCAGUGGGGAAUAUUGCACAAUGGGGGAAACCCUGAUGCAGCAACGCCGCGUGAGUGAAGAAGUAUUUCGGUAUGUAAAGCUCUAUCAGCAGGGAAGAAAAUGACGGUACCUGACUAAGAAGCCCCGGCUAACUACGUGCCAGCAGCCGCGGUAAUACGUAGGGGGCAAGCGUUAUCCGGAUUUACUGGGUGUAAAGGGAGCGUAGACGGCGAAGCAAGUCUGAAGUGAAAGCCCACGGCUCAACCGUGGAACUGCUUUGGAAACUGUUUUGCUAGAGUGCAGGAGGGGCAGGCGGAAUUCCUAGUGUAGCGGUGAAAUGCGUAGAUAUUAGGAGGAACACCGGUGGCGAAGGCGGCCUGCUGGACUGUAACUGACGUUGAGGCUCGAAAGCGUGGGGAGCAAACAGGAUUAGAUACCCUGGUA
Molecule: ribosomal RNA, 433 nt
Filed under: uncultured Lachnospiraceae bacterium
Lineage: Bacteria; Bacillati; Bacillota; Clostridia; Lachnospirales; Lachnospiraceae
Description: partial 16S ribosomal RNA
Rfam family: Bacterial small subunit ribosomal RNA
Source: RNAcentral